Molecule: ribosomal RNA, 330 nt
Filed under: uncultured bacterium
Lineage: Bacteria
Description: bacterial SSU rRNA
Rfam family: Bacterial small subunit ribosomal RNA
Source: RNAcentral
UUCGGGGGAAAGCCGGGGACCUUCGGGCCUGGCGCGAUUGGAUGAGCCACGUCGGAUUAGCUAGUUGGCGGGGUAAAGGCCACCAAGGCGACGAUCCGUAGCUGGGUCUGAGAGGAUGAUCAGCCACACUGGAACUGAGACACGGUCCAGACUCCUACGGGAGGCAGCAGUAGGGAAUAUUGGACAAUGGGCGCAAGCCUGAUCCAGCCAUGCCGCGUGAGUGAAGAAGGCCCUCGGGUUGUAAAGCUCUUUUGUCCGGAAAGAAAAGCGCCGGGUUAAUACCCUGGUGUCCUGACGGUACCGGAAGAAUAAGCACCGGCUAACUUCGUG